This is a non-coding RNA of Trichobilharzia regenti, 46 nucleotides long. Lineage: Eukaryota; Metazoa; Platyhelminthes; Trematoda; Strigeidida; Schistosomatidae. The record is from Rfam.
AUCCGUCUGACGAGUACCCAAUUAGGACGAAAUGCGCAUCCUGGAU